UCCGGGUCAAGUCUGAGGCAGUUUAGGCUGUACUGAGGCUUUGGUUUUGUCAAGACUGGUAUCACACAGGUGACCCCUUCGAUCUGCCUUCCCCACUUGAAUUCUCGAUAACUUUCAAGAGCCAGGUGAGAAGAGGGCAGUGCUAUAGGAGGAGUGACCACUGGAGAUAUGCCAGAGUGCUAUGGCGAAUGCCACCAAGUCCAUGGGUCUGGCAAUGAUGGGCAAAUGAAGAUGGAUUUCUUGGAGCCCAGCUAACGGCAAUGGUGAAGUGGACACAUUUCCCUUGGUUAAGAGAAAUCCAUGGUUUGUUGUGUUUGCCAAGAACAAAAAUGUUGGAAAUCCAGAUUAGCAGAGCUGCCACCAUUGACAUUUUUCACAUCAACCACAUCCGAAGGGCCAGGAUAUCUCUCUGUUGGUGAUCACAUCAGUUCUUCCCAGUCCAAGCUCUUAUCACCCAUUCCUAGAUUACUGCAAUAGUCCCUCAAGCUAUUCUUCUGCCUUGGGUUGCUUUCCCUAACCAAUUCAUCUUACACGUUACUUCCAGAUUAAUAAUUCUAGACCAGGACUUUCCUGGUGGUGCAGUGGUUAAGAACCCACCUGCCAAUGCAGGGGACAGGGGUUCAAGCCUUGGUCCAGGAAGAUCCCACAUGCCACGGAACAACUAAGCCCGUGUGCCACAACUACUGAGCCUGUGCUCUAGAGCCCACAAGCCACAACUACUGAACCCACGUGCCACAGCUACUGAAGCCUGCGUGCCUAGAGCCUGUGCUCUGCAACAAGAGAAGCCACCACAAUGAGAAGCCCGCACACCUCAACAAAGAGUAGCCCCCACUCGCCGCAACUAGAGAAAGCCUGCGUGCAGCAACGAAGACCAAACACAGCCAAAAAUAAAUAAAUUCAUUAAUUAAAAAAAAGUAAUAAUAAUUCUAGACCAGAUCUUUGUGUUAACUCUGCUGCACAGAAAACAUCCAUGGUUUCCCAUCCACUAGCUACAAGUUAAAGUCCAAAUUCCUGAGUGAUCCAUAAUCUGGCCCCACUCAUCUUCCAAACUUUCUAGCCUUACCUUCUAACACUCCCUCACGGUAAGCUAGCUAAACUGAUUUUCUGAAAUCCUACAGAACUUACUGUCUAUAUUAUUUUUUCCUAUCAUUAAUCAAACAUAGUUUUCA
Molecule: long non-coding RNA, 1169 nt
Organism: Balaenoptera ricei (Rice's whale)
Lineage: Eukaryota; Metazoa; Chordata; Mammalia; Artiodactyla; Balaenopteridae
Exons: 5
Source: RefSeq, a predicted model, not a curated record